RNAcentral lists this long non-coding RNA (739 nucleotides) under Anser cygnoides (Swan goose). Its description in RNAcentral is "lncRNA (ENSACDG00005002204.1)". Lineage: Eukaryota; Metazoa; Chordata; Aves; Anseriformes; Anatidae. The record is from RNAcentral.
UGGGUGGUUACCCCGAUCCCACGGGGGGGGGGCUGGAGACCCCCGGGCAGGCAGAGGCAACAUUUUGGGGUGCCCUGACCCCCCCCCACACCCCCCUCGCCCCCAGCGCCUGCUUGAGGAAAGCCGUCGAGGUGGCAUCGCUGCUGGCGGGGCGCCGCUGCUGCGUCCUCCUGCAAGAGCCGUCCGACCGGGACCUCAACUGCCUGCUGGCCUCCCUGGUGCAGCUCCUGGCGGACCCCCACGCCCGGACCCUGCCGGGCUUCCAGAGCCUGGUGCAGCGCGAGUGGGUGGCAGCCGGCCACCCCUUUCCCCGCCGCCUCGGCCUGCGGCGCGACAGCCCCCGGGAGGAGGCGCCCGUGUUCCCGCUGUUCCUGGACUGCACGUGGCAGCUGGUGCGGCAGUUCCCGGCGGCCUUUGGCUUCACCGAGGCGUACCUGCUGGCCCUGCACGACAGCGGCUUCCUGCCCUACUGCGGCACCUUCCUCUUCAGCUGCCAGCGCCAGCGGGGCCGCGGCGGCCCGCAGCAGCCCCGCAGCCAGACCUACACGCCGGUGAACGGCUGGUGGGACCCCCCCCCGGGCAGGGGGGGCAGCGCCGGCAGCCGCCUGCCCCCGGUUUGGGACUGGGCGCUGCGCUACAGCCCGCAGCAGCGGGUGCGGUUUCGGAACCCGGCGGGGGUCCCCAGCACCGUGGGACCCCCCGACACCGCGAACCCCCAGACCACGGGCACAGUGAGCCU